RNAcentral lists this transfer RNA (63 nucleotides) under Neoteredo reynei. RNAcentral's name for it is "tRNA-Phe". Lineage: Eukaryota; Metazoa; Mollusca; Bivalvia; Myida; Teredinidae. The record is from RNAcentral.
GUUCGAAUAGUUUAAGAAGAACGCGGCGGUGAAGUUGCCGUAGUGGCUGUAUGCCUUUGGACA